GUCUAUGGCCACCUACCCCAAACAAGCUCGAUCCCAUCUGAUCUUGGAAGCUAAGCAGGGUUGGGCCUGGUUAGUACUUGGAUGGGAGACCACCUAAGAAGACCGGGUGCUAUAGGCG
This 118-nucleotide ribosomal RNA is filed under the name Pteropus alecto (black flying fox). Lineage: Eukaryota; Metazoa; Chordata; Mammalia; Chiroptera; Pteropodidae. The record is from RNAcentral.